CCUACGGGAGGCUGCAGUGGGGAAUAUUGCACAAUGGGGGAAACCCUGAUGCAGCGACGCCGCGUGAGUGAUGAAGUAUUUCGGUAUGUAAAGCUCUAUCAGCAGGGAAGAUAAUGACGGUACCUGACUAAGAAGCUCCGGCUUAAUACGUGCCAGCAGCCGCGGUAAUACGUAUGGAGCAAGCGUUAUCCGGAUUUACUGGGUGUAAAGGGAGCGCAGACGGCAGGGCAAGUCUGAUGUGAAAGUCCGGGGCUCAACCCCGGGACUGCAUUGGAAACUGUCCGGCUAGAGUGUAGGAGAGGUAAGUGGAAUUCCUAGUGUAGCGGUGAAAUGCGUAGAUAUUAGGAGGAACACCAGUGGCGAAGGCGGCUUACUGGACUGUAACUGACGUUGAGGCUCGAAAGCGUGGGGAGCAAACAGGAUUAGAUACCCCUGUAGUC
RNAcentral lists this ribosomal RNA (440 nucleotides) under uncultured bacterium. Its description in RNAcentral is "partial 16S ribosomal RNA". It matches the Rfam family "Bacterial small subunit ribosomal RNA", at positions 338 to 795 of the family's 1533-position model. The record is from RNAcentral.